AUUGAACGCUGGCGGUAGGCCUAACACAUGCAAGUCGAACGGCAGCACAGAGGAGCUUGCUCCUUGGGUGGCGAGUGGCGGACGGGUGAGGAAUACAUCGGAAUCUACUUUUUCGUGGGGGAUAACGUAGGGAAACUUACGCUAAUACCGCAUACGACCUACGGGUGAAAGCAGGGGAUCUUCGGACCUUGCGCGAUUGAAUGAGCCGAUGUCGGAUUAGCUAGUUGGCGGGGUAAAGGCCCACCAAGGCGACGAUCCGUAGCUGGUCUGAGAGGAUGAUCAGCCACACUGGAACUGAGACACGGUCCAGACUCCUACGGGAGGCAGCAGUGGGGAAUAUUGGGCAAUGGGCGCAAGCCUGAUCCAGCCAUACCGCGUGGGUGAAGAAGGCCUUCGGGUUGUAAAGCCCUUUUGUUGGGAAAGAAAUCCAGCCGGCUAAUACCUGGUUGGGAUGACGGUACCCAAAGAAUAAGCACCGGCUAACUUCGUGCCAGCCGCCGCCGUAA
Molecule: ribosomal RNA, 506 nt
Filed under: uncultured bacterium
Lineage: Bacteria
Description: partial 16S ribosomal RNA
Rfam family: Bacterial small subunit ribosomal RNA
Source: RNAcentral